Molecule: ribosomal RNA, 400 nt
Filed under: phytoplankton environmental sample
Lineage: Eukaryota
Description: partial small subunit ribosomal RNA
Rfam family: Eukaryotic small subunit ribosomal RNA
Source: RNAcentral
AGCUCCAAUAGCGUAUAUUAAAGUUGUUGCAGUUAAAAAGCUCGUAGUUGGAUUUGUGGUUCGUCCCGCCGGCUGGGUCUCUGACCUUUGCUGUGCUGGUCGUCCAUCCUUGGGUGGAAUCUGUGUGGCAUUAGGUUGUCGUGCAGGGGAUGCCCAUCGUUUACUGUGAAAAAAUUAGAGUGUUCAAAGCAGGCUUAUGCCGUUGAAUAUAUUAGCAUGGAAUAAUAAUAUAGGACCUUGGUACUAUUUUGUUGGUUUGCGCACUGAGGUAAUGAUUAAUAGGGACAGUUGGGGGUAUUCGUAUUCCAUUGUAAGAGGUGAAAUUCUUGGAUUUUUGGAAGACGAACUACUGCGAAAGCAUUUACCAAGGAUGUUUUCAUUAAUCAAGAACGAAAGUACG